This 319-nucleotide unclassified non-coding RNA is filed under the name uncultured fungus. RNAcentral's name for it is "sequence contains ITS1". Lineage: Eukaryota; Fungi. The record is from RNAcentral.
GUUUCUUUAUUAUUAAAGUGUAAUUCACUGUUUUUCAGAAGUAUAAUAUCAAUAAGAGUGGUUCUUUGCUUGACUGACGACAGCACCGAUCGAUCGCUCAAUGAAGAGACAGGAUCACCACAAGUUAUCAGCCUGGUCAAGCAAGUUCAGGCUUUUGGAAUGAAGAUCUGUGGAAUUUUGCGCUCAUCGCCAAGAGACAUUUCAGUGGUUCACAAAGGUGUCGCGGAAUCCGCGGGCUAACGAGCUGGGAAUAAAUCCGAGCGUCGCUUCGCCUCAUUUGGAAUUUGUAAUGAUCCAACCGCAGGUUCACCUACGGUUA